CCUACGGGAGGCAGCAGUGAGGAAUAUUGGACAAUGGGCGAGAGCCUGAUCCAGCCAUGCCGCGUGCAGGAUGACUGCCCUAUGGGUUGUAAACUGCUUUUAUACAGGAAGAAACGGCUUUACGUGUAGAGCUCUGACGGUACUGUAAGAAUAAGGAUCGGCUAACUCCGUGCCAGCAGCCGCGGUAAUACGGAGGAUCCAAGCGUUAUCCGGAAUCAUUGGGUUUAAAGGGUCCGUAGGUGGAUAAUUAAGUCAGAGGUGAAAUCCUGCAGCUCAACUGUAGAAUUGCCUUUGAUACUGGUUAUCUUGAGUUACUAUGAAGUAGUUAGAAUAUGUAGUGUAGCGGUGAAAUGCAUAGAUAUUACAUAGAAUACCAAUUGCGAAGGCAGAUUACUAACAAUUAACUGACGCUGAGGGACGAAAGCGUGGGUAGCGAACAGGAUUAGAUACCCUGGUAGUCCACGCCGUAAACGAUGGUCACUAGCUGUUCGAUGUACAUUGGUACAUUGAGUGGCUAAGCGAAAGUGAUAAGUGACCCACCUUGGAGUACGCUCGCAAGAGUGAAACUCAAAGGAAUUGACGG
Molecule: ribosomal RNA, 583 nt
Filed under: uncultured Flavobacteriaceae bacterium
Lineage: Bacteria; Pseudomonadati; Bacteroidota; Flavobacteriia; Flavobacteriales; Flavobacteriaceae
Description: bacterial SSU rRNA
Rfam family: Bacterial small subunit ribosomal RNA
Source: RNAcentral